RNAcentral lists this ribosomal RNA (206 nucleotides) under uncultured bacterium. RNAcentral describes it as "partial 16S ribosomal RNA". It matches the Rfam family "Bacterial small subunit ribosomal RNA", at positions 568 to 774 of the family's 1533-position model. The record is from RNAcentral.
UGCGCAGGCGGUUUUGUAAGUCAGAUGUGAAAUCCCCGAGCUCAACUUGGGAACUGCGUUUGAAACUACAAGACUAGAAUAUGUCAGAGGGGGGUAGAAUUCCACGUGUAGCAGUGAAAUGCGUAGAGAUGUGGAGGAAUACCAUGGCGAAGGCAGCCCCCUGGGAUAAUAUUGACGCUCAUGCACGAAAGCGUGGGGAGCAAACA